Hydra vulgaris (swiftwater hydra) is the source of this 2016-nucleotide non-coding RNA. Lineage: Eukaryota; Metazoa; Cnidaria; Hydrozoa; Anthoathecata; Hydridae. The record is from RefSeq and is a predicted model, not a curated record.
AAAAAAGAGUUUCAAAAAUAUAUAGAUUCCUUAACAGAUAAAGUUUUUAGUUUGUCUCACUCAUUUACGCCUUAUCAAUGGAAACUUGCAAACAUAACACCUAUCGCUAAAUUACCAAACCCAAGUAACUGGUCAGAUUUCCGCCCAAUCUCACCCGCAUCCUACCUCUGCAAGACAUUAGAAAGAGUUAUAGCCAAAUUUAUUAUCCAACAUACUCAAAUCUUAGAAAACAACAAACAAUAUGGGUUCCUACCAGGUAAAAGCACAAUGGAUGCAAUCGCAUGUGUCAUAGAAGACUGGCAUUUUGCUAAAGAUAAAAAGAAAAAUUUAAUUGCAAUAUUCUUUGACUGCUAAAGCCUUUGACGUAAUUGAUCACGAACUUCUUCUUACCAAAUUAACAAUAUUACCAAAUUAACCUCCCUAAAUGGCUUAUUUCCUGGAUUGCAUUGUACCUAAAGACCAGAUAUCAGCAAGUUUAUACUAACGGCAUAGCAACAGAAUGGCAACCUGUUGAAGCUGGAGUCAUCCAAGGCAUUACACUUGGAUCCGUUCUUUUUAUACUCUUCAUACUCGAUAUAAACGAUAUAUUUAACUGCAAUACUGAACUUUACAAAUUUGCUAAUGACAUCCUUGCAUACAUUGUUGGAGACCUAGCCUACUCAACCCUACUACAGGAAAUAUGCAACAAAGUUAAUAGCUGGUGCAUUAAAAACCAAAUGUUAUUAAACACAAAAAAAUGAAAAAUCAUGAGCAUACCUAAUAACAAACUCGACACACGCCCACCACCAAUUGUUUCCAUCAACUCUAAAGCUCUCAAAUAUGUAACCUCAUACAAAUACCUAGAAUUAGAUUUAAAUAUUGAAAUGAGCACCGACUAACAAUGGCAUCGUAUCAAGCCCGAAUUCUCCUCAGCUCAGUACCUAAUUAGAAGUCUAAAAAAAUAGGCUUUCACAAUGAAUUACCAGUAACAAUAUACCAAAGCAUUGGAUUUAGCCACUUGAUCCACUGUGCACCAUUACUGUGUGCAAGCAGUAACAAAAUAAAGCACGAAAUACAGCAAAUACAUCUAAAAACGCUAAAAUCUAUAGGCAUUAGUCCAGAAAUCGCCAGAACAAAAUAUAACAUUGAAAACACCGACACAUAUAUUGACAAUAUAUGUAUAAAAAUCCUAAGGCGUAUUCUACGAAACCCAAAUCAUACGCUAAACAUUAAGACAAAAAAAAGAUCCAAAAUAAAAUAUCAACUUUGGUUUCAAGAUAGGUUUACAUACCCAAAGAACAUUGUUUACAUACGGUUACGUUACGGUUUACAUACCCAAAGAACAUUGCGUCUUAUAUGAGAUGGGAAGCGUAACUUCUAUACUAGUUAAUCAAAGCAACUACAAACUAACAAUUUAUGUAUGCAUAUAUGUGUGCAUAUAUAUGUAUAAAUAUCCCAUUACUAUUAUUAUAGAUUUCUUGAGAUUUCUUACGUUUAGUUGAAUCAACAAGGUCUACCAUUGAACCAUCUUCACCUGGUACAGUUGUUUCAUCGUCGUCUGCGUCAAGUGGACCAUGUACAUCAUUUACGAUUAGUUCAUGUUCAUCUUCAACAACUGGUAUUUUUAAAAACUAUUAUUUUUUAAUGUGUGGGCAUUUCUCAGCAAUUGCAAUAUCUUUAAAUGACAAUUUUUUCUACAAUUAGUUCCACCUGCUCAACCUUCUGCUGGUAAAUUUAUAGCUUACAUAUGAAGCCUACAGGAUUUACAGGACCCAGCAUCUUGGACCCACAAGCAACAAGUCAUAUUUGCUCGACCCGGUUGGGGGCAAAGACGAUCCCCUUUUUAGAUGGCGCUAUUAUUCUCCAAACAGGGGUGCUGGGGACAGCAGCAGAGGUACUGCAAGUGGUCGUGGCAAAAGAGGUCGACAAAAGUGGAGUGGUGGCAGCCAUUAUGUUAACUUUAAUAUAAACAAUUAAAAAGUUAACAUGGUGCCACCAUUCCUUUAUUUUUCUUCAAUAAUAUAUAAUAUUAGUUAA